RNAcentral lists this transfer RNA (72 nucleotides) under Candidatus Microgenomates bacterium. Its description in RNAcentral is "tRNA-Arg". It matches the Rfam family "tRNA". From Rfam's summary of the family: Transfer RNA (tRNA) molecules are approximately 80 nucleotides in length. Their secondary structure includes four short double-helical elements and three loops (D, anti-codon, and T loops). The record is from RNAcentral. Lineage: Bacteria; Candidatus Microgenomatota.
GCGCUCGUCGUUCAACGGAUAGGACGCAGGCUUGCGGAGCCUGUAAUAGAAGUUCGAUUCUUCUCGAGCGCA